AUUGAACGCCGGCGGCAGGCCUAACACAUGCAAGUCGAGCGGAUGCAGGGAGCUUGCUCCUGGAUUCAGCGGCGGACGGGUGAGUAAUGCCUAGGAAUCUCCCUGGCUGUUUGGGAUAACGUCCGGAAACGGGCGCUAAUACCGCAUACGUCCUGAGGGAGAACGUGGGGGAUCUUCGGACCUCACGCUAUCAGAUGAGCCUAUGUCGGAGUAGCUAGUUGGUGGGGUAAAGGCCUACCAAGGCGACGAUCCGUAACUGGUCUGAGAGGAUGAUCAGUCACACUGGAGAUGAGAAACGGGCCAGAGCCCUAAGGGAGGGAGCAGGGGGGAAUAUUGGAAAAUGGGGGGAAGCCUGAUCCCACCAUAGCGGGUGGGUGAAAAAGGGCUUCGGGUUGUAAAGCCCUUUUAUGGGGGGAGAAAAGGAGGAAGGUAAUAACCCGCUGUUUUGACGGUAACCAAAGAAUAAGCAACGGCUAAAUUCGUG
This 484-nucleotide ribosomal RNA is filed under the name uncultured bacterium. Its description in RNAcentral is "partial 16S ribosomal RNA". It matches the Rfam family "Bacterial small subunit ribosomal RNA", at positions 29 to 507 of the family's 1533-position model. The record is from RNAcentral.